This 253-nucleotide ribosomal RNA is filed under the name uncultured bacterium. Its description in RNAcentral is "partial 16S ribosomal RNA". It matches the Rfam family "Bacterial small subunit ribosomal RNA", at positions 524 to 776 of the family's 1533-position model. The record is from RNAcentral.
UACGUAGGGUGCAAGCGUUAAUCGGAAUUACUGGGCGUAAAGCGUGCGCAGGCGGUUUGUUAAGACAGAUGUGAAAUCCCCGGGCUUAACCUGGGAACUGCAUUUGUGACUGGCAAGCUAGAGUAUGGCAGAGGGGGGUAGAAUUCCACGUGUAGCAGUGAAAUGCGUAGAGAUGUGGAGGAAUACCGAUGGCGAAGGCAGCCCCCUGGGCCAAUACUGACGCUCAUGCACGAAAGCGUGGGGAGCAAACAGG